UCAGACGAUGCGUCAUGCAUAUCAAUAAGCGGAGGAAAAGAAACUAACAAGGAUUCCCCUAGUAACGGCGAGUGAAGCGGGAAGAGCUCAAAUUUGAAAUCUUCAAGGUUUUACCUUGACGAAUUGUAGUUUAAAGAAGUGUUUUCUGUUGAAGUUUUGGUAAAAGUUCUUUGGAAUAGGACAUCAUAGAGGGUGAGAAUCCCGUAUUUGACCAUUAUUUUCAGCUGUGUGAUACACUUUCAAAGAGUCGGAUUGUUUGGGAAUGCAGUCCAAAAUGGGUGGUAAAUUUCAUCUAAAGCUAAAUAUUGGCGAGAGACCGAUAGCGAACAAGUACCGUGAGGGAAAGAUGAAAAGAACUUUGAAAAGAGAGUUAAACAGUACGUGAAAUUGUCAAAAGGGAAGCGUUUGACACCAGUGUUGUUUUCUCGAAAAUCAAUUAAAAAGAGUUGGAUUUUGUGUUGUAUUGACCUUAACAGCUUGCUUCACUCUUUUCCUGCUUUUUUUAAUGCACUUUUCGUUUAACAAGUCAACAUCAAUUUCUUUUGUUGUAAAAGAGUCAUUGGAAGGUGGCUUUCUCUUCGGAGAAAGUGUUUAUAGCCUUUGAUCUCUGCAAUCGGAGAGACUGAGGUCUGCAGCGUAGAUCCUUCGGGGUUAGAUACAUUUGUGCUAAGCUACAGCUUUUCAUAGACAACUUGUUGACUAUGUUUAGUCUUGUAACUUACCCGCUUAUGCUAUUUUACCUACGCUUAGGAUGUUGAUAUGCAUGACUGAUAU
Molecule: ribosomal RNA, 774 nt
Filed under: uncultured Neocallimastigales
Lineage: Eukaryota; Fungi; Neocallimastigomycota; Neocallimastigomycetes; Neocallimastigales
Description: partial large subunit ribosomal RNA
Rfam family: Eukaryotic large subunit ribosomal RNA
Source: RNAcentral